This is a small nucleolar RNA of Myotis lucifugus (little brown bat), 136 nucleotides long. Ensembl annotates it as small nucleolar RNA SNORA1. The record is from Ensembl. Lineage: Eukaryota; Metazoa; Chordata; Mammalia; Chiroptera; Vespertilionidae.
AGCCUCAUUCUAGAUGAAAAUGGACACUGUUGCUCAUGGUGUCCAGAAAUUGUUAAUGUGGCUGCAUUGAGAACACAGGUUAUAUUUCCAUCACAGUAACUUUAUUGUAGUGGUGACAAUGAGAUCUGUAACAUAA